Molecule: ribosomal RNA, 755 nt
Filed under: Micrococcus sp. DBQ_48M
Lineage: Bacteria; Bacillati; Actinomycetota; Actinomycetes; Micrococcales; Micrococcaceae
Description: bacterial SSU rRNA
Rfam family: Bacterial small subunit ribosomal RNA
Source: RNAcentral
GCGCAGAUAUCAGGAGGAACACCGAUGGCGAAGGCAGGUCUCUGGGCUGUAACUGACGCUGAGGAGCGAAAGCAUGGGGAGCGAACAGGAUUAGAUACCCUGGUAGUCCAUGCCGUAAACGUUGGGCACUAGGUGUGGGGACCAUUCCACGGUUUCCGCGCCGCAGCUAACGCAUUAAGUGCCCCGCCUGGGGAGUACGGCCGCAAGGCUAAAACUCAAAGGAAUUGACGGGGGCCCGCACAAGCGGCGGAGCAUGCGGAUUAAUUCGAUGCAACGCGAAGAACCUUACCAAGGCUUGACAUGUUCUCGAUCGCCGUAGAGAUACGGUUUCCCCUUUGGGGCGGGUUCACAGGUGGUGCAUGGUUGUCGUCAGCUCGUGUCGUGAGAUGUUGGGUUAAGUCCCGCAACGAGCGCAACCCUCGUUCCAUGUUGCCAGCACGUAGUGGUGGGGACUCAUGGGAGACUGCCGGGGUCAACUCGGAGGAAGGUGAGGACGACGUCAAAUCAUCAUGCCCCUUAUGUCUUGGGCUUCACGCAUGCUACAAUGGCCGGUACAAUGGGUUGCGAUACUGUGAGGUGGAGCUAAUCCCAAAAAGCCGGUCUCAGUUCGGAUUGGGGUCUGCAACUCGACCCCAUGAAGUCGGAGUCGCUAGUAAUCGCAGAUCAGCAACGCUGCGGUGAAUACGUUCCCGGGCCUUGUACACACCGCCCGUCAAGUCACGAAAGUUGGUAACACCCGAAGCCGGUGGCCUAAC